CAGUAGCAAUACUGUGGGUGGCGAGUGGCGGACGGGUGAGUAAUGCAUCGGGACCUGCCCAGACGUGGGGGAUAACGUAGGGAAACUUACGCUAAUACCGCAUACGUCCUACGGGAGAAAGCGGGGGAUCGAAAGACCUCGCGCGGUUGGAUGGACCGAUGUUCGAUUAGCUUGUUGGUGAGGUAACGGCUCACCAAGGCGACGAUCGAUAGCUGGUCUGAGAGGAUGAUCAGCCACACUGGGACUGAGACACGGCCCAGACUCCUACGGGAGGCAGCAGUGGGGAAUAUUGGACAAUGGGCGAAAGCCUGAUCCAGCAAUGCCGCGUGUGUGAAGAAGGCCUUCGGGUUGUAAAGCACUUUUAUCAGGAGCGAAAUACUGCCGGCUAAUACCCGGUGGGGCUGACGGUACCUGAGGAAUAAGCACCGGCUAACUUCGUGCCAGCAGCCGCGGUAAUACGAAGGGUGCAAGCGUUAAUCGGAAUUACUGGGCGUAAAGCGUGCGUAGGCGGUUCUUUAAGUCUGCUGUGAAAUCCCCGGGCUCAACCUGGGAAUGGCAGUGGAUACUGGAGAGCUAGAGUGUGAUAGAGGAUGGUGGAAUUCCCGGUGUAGCGGUGAAAUGCGUAGAGAUCGGGAGGAACAUCAGUGGCGAAGGCGGCCAUCUGGAUCAACACUGACGCUGAGGCACGAAA
RNAcentral lists this ribosomal RNA (691 nucleotides) under Dyella sp. ahR76. RNAcentral describes it as "bacterial SSU rRNA". It matches the Rfam family "Bacterial small subunit ribosomal RNA", at positions 74 to 758 of the family's 1533-position model. Lineage: Bacteria; Pseudomonadati; Pseudomonadota; Gammaproteobacteria; Lysobacterales; Rhodanobacteraceae. The record is from RNAcentral.